CUCGGCUCAACUCGUUUUUAUUUCAUUUUCCAAACGAAGCAAACUUGAACUUAUUAACAUUCAACUUGAGUUUUAAAAAUUUUUCACAAUCUAAACAUUAACUCUUCAAAACUCGCCUCAGCUCAGCUUAUUUACAACUCUAGUUAAAAAGGAUGAGAUUGUAAUUUCGAAAGGACUGUCCUAAUUUGUAAUUACAGGGAAAAAUUCCUAUGUAAAUACCACUCAUCCACAAAUGCUUAUACAAGAACUAUAAACAUCUUACUUCGACGAACUUGCUCAACUAAAGCAUGUCUCUUCCGCGGCAAAGUCCUGCAUUAUCAAAAACCUGAGCAAAACAGCGUAAUCCAAGUUUUACACAUUUUACAUGGAAAAAUAGUUUUACAUUGGCAAGAAUGUUACAAUGAAACAACCAAAACCGAAAACAACUUAUUACAUUGUACUCCCAAAGUUCUGGAAGUUUGGCUCUCAGCCAAACCGAGCCUCACAUACCUUGAUGAAGGUUUAAAGAAAAGUCAAUCCGCAAUUUUAUCAGUAAGAUUAAACCAGCACUCAUUUCUUUAAUAGCAAUGCACUGCAUUGUGCCAUUAUCUUUGACGCCCGGGUAAUGGAAUCAGUCAUGUAAAAAUUAUCUACAGCAGCCUUAAAUGGAGUCGAACUUACAUUUUGAGUGCACUCUAGCUUCAAUGAAGCCCCAAAUGUAGCGGGCUCUCUCUCAUCCAUGCUCAAGAGGUUUGGUGCUACAUUUCUGAUCCGGGAUCGGAUGGCCCCAAUUGUAUCAUAAGGCAAGCGCACCCCUGCAACUUCAGAGAGAGCCCGAAUUAUCUUCCAGUCGUCCCUAGCAUCACCAACUGUUGGAACUGCUGGCAAAGUCUGUUGUGCACACCCUUCUGUAUUUUCAUACGUCCCCUCCUUUUCAGUGAAUGCCGCUGCUGGCAAAAUGACAUUGGCAUGAUAUGCCCCAUGAUCACCAUGGUGCCCCUGAUAAACCACAAAGGCAUCCUUCGGCAGUUUGUCCAAGUUCACAUCAUCAGCACCCAUCAAAUACACAAAUUUGGCAGAUCCAAUGCUAUUGCUGGAUUCUGGUACAAGUCCAAGGUCAAGAGCAGCCGCUUGGGCAGCAUUGAGAAGCAAAAUAUUGAACCCAUUCCAGUCAGGUCUCACAAUGUUCCCCUUUUUCACAAUGGCCUCGACAGUAGUAAAAAUUGCAUCCUUGUCUGGUCUCUCAAAGAUUCCAGCACCAACGAUGACUGCUGGGUUUUUGGCAUUCAAGAUUGUCGAGAAAAAAGGAUGACGGCCCUCAGCAAUUUCAACAAGAGUUUGAGGGCCAGUACCAAGAUGCUCACAAUCAUAGUUGAAAUUAAUGGGAGGGCCAAUAUAACCAACCUUAGCAUUGGUUGCACGAACUGUCUUGCGAAUUCUGGCAUUUACCAUGGCAGCUUCUAUCCUUGGCUGGUAAUUCAUCAGAAAUAAUGAGAUCAUAUAAUCAAUACUCAGCUUAAAAUGUAUCCAUGCAUUUUAAGAAAAUAAUGUAUAACUACCAAUUCACCCUUCCUCUAUUGCACUUUAAAUUCUCAAACAGAAUACACCACAAACAAGGCCCAUACAAAGAGCAAAAAGAUUCCUAAUUGAGAGCUAAAAAUAUAAAAAGAGAAGGCAACUAUAAUCCAGGUGUUUGGUAAAAGAAUAAUAAUUAAUAUGAUAAUGCAUUACCUGAGUACCAACCAAGAGGAAAACAUCCACCUUCUCAAGCCCACUAAUGCCGGUAUUCAUGAUAUAUCCAGAUCGUAAAUCAGCGUUUGGGCUUGGGCCAUUUCCUUCACACCACACAUUAUUUGAACCCAUUCUGUUUAAGAAAUCUUUCAGUACCAUCAUGGAUUCAGCAUCACACAGCUUACCAACAACUCCAACAAUUUCCUCUGGUUUAACUUGAUGUAAAACCUCUGCAACUACUGCUAAGGCAUCUCGCCAACUUACAGCCUUGAAGCGCCCAUCAGCACCACGAAUCAUAGGAUCAUUUAGCCUCUGCCUCUUCAAACCAUCAUAAAAAAACCGAGUUUUAUCUGAUAUCCAUUCUUCAUUUAUGUCCUCAUUUAAUCGUGGAAGGAUGCGCAUGACCUCUGGACCUCUACUAUCAAUACGAAUGUUGGAUCCAACUGCAUCAGUAACAUCAAUGCUCUCUGUCCCUUUCAACUCCCAGUUUCGGGCUUUAAAUGCGAAAGGUUUUGAUGUAAGAGCCCCAACAGGACAGAUAUCUAUCACAUUUCCAGAAAGUUCACUUGUCAUAAGCUUUUCAACGUAAGUGCCAAUUUCUUCUCCACUGCCACGACCUAGCAUGCCGAGAUCCUGGACCCCAGCAAUUUCUGUAGCAAACCUGACGCACCUUGUGCACUGAAUACACCGAGUCAUCACUGUCUUCACC
This 2419-nucleotide unclassified non-coding RNA is filed under the name Hevea brasiliensis (rubber tree). Lineage: Eukaryota; Viridiplantae; Streptophyta; Magnoliopsida; Malpighiales; Euphorbiaceae. The record is from RNAcentral.